GACGAACGCUGGCGGCGUGCUUAACACAUGUAAGUCGAACGGAAAGGCCCCUUUGGGGGUACUCGAGUGGCGAACGGGUGAGUAACACGUGAGUAACCUGCCCUUGACUUCGGGAUAACUUCAGGAAACUGGGGCUAAUACCGGAUAGGAAUCCUUGCUGCAUGGUGGGGGUUGGAAAGCUUCGGCGGUUUUGGAUGGACUCGCGGCUUAUCAGCUUGUUGGUGGGGUAGUGGCUUACCAAGGCUUUGACGGGUAGCCGGCCUGAGAGGGCGACCGGCCACAUUGGGACUGAGAUACGGCCCAGACUCCUACGGGAGGCAGCAGUGGGGAAUAUUGCACAAUGGGCGGAAGCCUGAUGCAGCAACGCCGCGUGCGGGAUGACGGCCUUCGGGUUGUAAACCGCUUUCAGCAGGGGCGAAGCUUGUGGUGACGGUACCUGCAGAAGAAGCACCGGCUAACUACGUG
Molecule: ribosomal RNA, 465 nt
Filed under: uncultured bacterium
Lineage: Bacteria
Description: partial 16S ribosomal RNA
Rfam family: Bacterial small subunit ribosomal RNA
Source: RNAcentral